Molecule: ribosomal RNA, 256 nt
Filed under: uncultured bacterium
Lineage: Bacteria
Description: partial 16S ribosomal RNA
Rfam family: Bacterial small subunit ribosomal RNA
Source: RNAcentral
UACGUAGGGUGCAAGCGUUGUCCGGAAUUAUUGGGCGUAAAGAGCUCGUAGGCGGUCUGUCGCGUCUGCUGUGAGAACUCAGGGCUUAACCCUGAGCUUGCAGUGGGUACGGGCAGACUAGAGUGCGGUAGGGGAGACUGGAAUUCCUGGUGUAGCGGUGAAAUGCGCAGAUAUCAGGAGGGAACACCGGUGGGCGAAGGCGGGUCUCUGGGCCGGUAACUGACGCUGGAGGAGCGAAAGCUGGGGAGCGAACAGG